UACGAAGGGGGCUAGCGUUGCCCGGAAUCACUGGGCGUAAAGCGCACGUAGGCGGACUCUUAAGUCGGUGGUGAAAUCCUGGAGCUCAACUCCAGAACUGCCUUCGAUACUGAGAGUCUUGAGUCCGGGAGAGGUGAGUGGAACUGCGAGUGUAGAGGUGAAAUUCGUAGAUAUUCGCAAGAACACCAGUGGCGAAGGCGGCUCACUGGCCCGGUACUGACGCUGAGGUGCGAAAGCGUGGGGAGCAAACAGG
Molecule: ribosomal RNA, 253 nt
Filed under: uncultured bacterium
Lineage: Bacteria
Description: partial 16S ribosomal RNA
Rfam family: Bacterial small subunit ribosomal RNA
Source: RNAcentral